AGCUUGCUCUCUGCUGACGAGUUGCGAACGGGUGCGUAACGCGUAUGCAACCUACCCAUAACAGGGGGAUAGCCCAUAGAAAUGUGGAUUAAUACCCCAUAACAUCAUAGAUUGGCAUCAUGAAAUGAUUAAAACUCCGGUGGUUAUGGAUGGGCAUGCGUGACAUUAGCUAGUUGGUGAGGUAACUGCUCACCAAGGCAACGAUGUCUAGGGGUUCUGAGAGGAUGAUCCCCCACACUGGUACUGAGACACGGACCAGACUCCUACGGGAGGCAGCAGUGAGGAAUAUUGCGCAAUGGAGGAAACUCUGACGCAGCCAUGCCGCGUGCAGGAAGACUGCCCUAUGGGUUGUAAACUGCUUUUAUAUAGGAAGAACUACAGCUACGUGUAGCUGUUUGACGGUACUAUACGAAUAAGGACCGGCUAACUCCGUGCCAGCAGCCGCGGUAAUACGGAGGGUCCAAGCGUUAUCCGGAUUUAUUGGGUUUAAAGGGUCCGUAGGCGGGUUAUUAAGUCAGUGGUGAAAUCCUACAGCUCAACUGUAGAACUGCCAUUGAAACUGGUAACCUUGAGUAUAAUUGAAGUGGGCGGAAUGUGUCAUGUAGCGGUGAAAUGCUUAGAUAUGACACAGAACACCGAUUGCGAAGGCAGCUCACUAAGUUAUAACUGACGCUGAGGGAC
Molecule: ribosomal RNA, 681 nt
Filed under: uncultured Bacteroidota bacterium
Lineage: Bacteria; Pseudomonadati; Bacteroidota
Description: bacterial SSU rRNA
Rfam family: Bacterial small subunit ribosomal RNA
Source: RNAcentral